This 274-nucleotide ribosomal RNA is filed under the name uncultured bacterium. Its description in RNAcentral is "partial 16S ribosomal RNA". It matches the Rfam family "Bacterial small subunit ribosomal RNA", at positions 523 to 796 of the family's 1533-position model. The record is from RNAcentral.
AUACGAAGGGGGCAAGCGUUGUUCGGAAUAACUGGGCGUAAAGCGCACGUAGGCGGAAUGUUAAGUUAGAGGUGAAAUCCCAGGGCGCAACCCUGGAACGGCCUUUAAUACUGGCAAUCUAGAGACCGAGAGAGGUGAGUGGAAUUCCGAGUGUAGAGGUGAAAUUCGUAGAUAUUCGGAGGAACACCAGUGGCGAAGGCGGCUCACUGGCUCGGUACUGACGCUGAGGUGCGAAAGCGUGGGGAGCAAACAGGAUUAGAAACCCUAGUAGUCC